GUAACAAGGUUUCCGUAGGUGA
RNAcentral lists this ribosomal RNA (22 nucleotides) under Dermanyssus hirundinis. RNAcentral describes it as "partial 18S ribosomal RNA". Lineage: Eukaryota; Metazoa; Arthropoda; Arachnida; Mesostigmata; Dermanyssidae. RNAcentral also lists the same sequence under 1 other name. The record is from RNAcentral.